Molecule: ribosomal RNA, 437 nt
Filed under: uncultured bacterium
Lineage: Bacteria
Description: partial 16S ribosomal RNA
Rfam family: Bacterial small subunit ribosomal RNA
Source: RNAcentral
AGCGAACGCUGGCGGCAGGCUUAACACAUGCAAGUCGAGCGGGCAUCCUUGUGGUGUCAGCGGCAGACGGGUGAGUAACGCGUGGGAACGUGCCCUUCGGUUCGGAAUAACUCAGGGAAACUUGAGCUAAUACCGGAUACGUGCGAGAGCAGAAAGGUUUAUCUGCCGAAGGAUCGGCCCGCGUCUGAUUAGCUAGUUGGUGAGGUUACGGCUCACCAAGGCGACGAUCAGUAGCUGGUCUGAGAGGAUGAUCUGCCACACUGGGACUGAGACACGGCCCAGACUCCUACGGGAGGCAGCAGUGGGGAAUAUUGGACAAUGGGGGCAACCCUGAUCCAGCCAUGCCGCGUGAGUGAUGACGGCCUUAGGGUUGUAAAGCUCUUUUCUCCGGGACGAUAAUGACGGUACCGGAGGAAUAAGCCCCGGCUAACUUCGUG